AUUGAACGCUGGCGGCAUGCCUUACACAUGCAAGUCGAGCGGCAGCGCGGGGGCAACCCUGGCGGCGAGCGGCGGACGGGUGAGUAAUACAUCGGAACGUGUCCUUUCGUGGGGGAUAACCAGUCGAAAGACUGGCUAAUACCGCAUGAGAUCUCACGAUGAAAGCGGGGGACCGCAAGGCCUCGCGCGAUUGGAGCGGCCGAUGUCGGAUUAGCUAGUUGGGACGGGUAAACGCCCACCAAGGCUACGAUCCGUAGCUGGUUUGAGAGAACGACCAGCCACACUGGGACUGAGACACGGCCAGACUCCUACGGGAGGCAGCAGGUGGGGAAUUUUGGACAAUGGGGGCAACCCUGAUCCAGCCAUGCCGCGUGUGU
Molecule: ribosomal RNA, 377 nt
Filed under: uncultured bacterium
Lineage: Bacteria
Description: bacterial SSU rRNA
Rfam family: Bacterial small subunit ribosomal RNA
Source: RNAcentral